AAACCCACACCACAGCAGUGACCCAAGCCAUAGCAGUGACAAUACCAGAUCCUGAACCCCCUGAGCCACCAGGGAACUCCUCUUCAUGGUACUUUUUAAUCCUGAUUUUUUUUUGUAUCCGUCUUCUAGAAAAGGAGCUCUAUAAGAAUACCUGUAGUUUAAUUUGAGCACUGCUAUUUCCCAUAUUGUUGAUUUUGACCUUAACUUUUGAACUAUAAAUUAGUCAGCAACUCUGCAGAGGGAGUGUUGAGCAAGGGUGGUAAAGUAGGUAGGACUGCAUUGUGGAGGGCUGUGUGCCCCUUUCAGACAUUGCAUUCUAUCUUGCAGGUGAUGGGGAAUUUGUGUAUACAACAGUACACAACAGGCCUGCAAAUUUUAGUUACAGAAUUCUUAGCACCAUCAGUAUUAUACUAAAGGAAACACGUGUGUUUUUGGUGUUUAUGUGGUAUAUGCAUUACAAGGGUUAUCACCUUCUAUUUGAAGAAGCUGAAUCACUUCUAGCUUGCCACUUAAAACAGUUGUUUCCUCCUGGAUGAGAAUAAAAUGUCCCUGAAUAGAGAGAUGGGCAAUCAUUUGCCCACAAGAUCCUUCUAAUAAAAAAGCCCCAAGGAUGUUAGCAACUUGGGGUGAGAGAAGUUAUUAGGAAGAAAGCUAUUCAAAACCCAACAAAUCUCUCUUGUUGAUUGGCCGCAAAAACUUUAGUGCCCACAAUGAUUUUAUGGCACAGGAGGUUAUGGGGUAAGAAUGGGUGGAUACAAAGAAAUAUGAGUCGCUUUGUCUCCUCCUCUGCUGGGUUUCACAGAGAAGCCCAGGUCUAUCCCUCCUUUCUAGGCACCCACUACCAGCACCUUAGUACAGGACACUUUCACCUCUAGUCUCCUGAUUAUCCUGCUAACCCAUGUUCCUACCACCUGCCUUGGACCCUUCCAUUCUUUCAGAGGGAUGCUGUUAAAAUGCAAAUGUGAUCUCAUCACUCCUCUCCUAAGAAACUCAGGUGCUGGGGGAUAACAGGGUUGACCAGCCCGAAUGACGGACAUGGGAGCUGCCUGCUUCCCACGUCUCACCUUCCUGCAGUCUCACCUCCUGCAUUCUUUCCGGAUCCUCUGGCUUCUUGUUCCAGUCCCAGGGAACCACCUGCAGUUCUCCCAACAGCCCAUGCUCUCACUUUCUGGAACUUUGCACGUGCUUUCCUAGGUAUCCUUUUCUGUCUCACAAGUAUUUUUGCUGUCUUCGCUCCAGCAACAAUUCUGCAUGUGUUGUAUGUAUUACAUUUUGUGUUCCAUCUCCAAAAAAGCUAUUCUAAAAGACCUCACAUUAUUUAUCACCUUGCCAGAGGCUGCCAGGCUUAAGGAUUUUGUAGUCUAUGUUCUCCUAGUUCUUGUGUCAAAAAUGAUUACAUCUUAUACUUGCAGGUUUCAUGUCAGCCUAGAAAAUUUUGCAGGCAUAAUCUCAUCUGGGAGUCCUCUUUUUCUUUUGCUACAGUUUUGUUAUUGCUCCCUCCCAAAGCAGGGAAGUUAAAUUCACAACAAAAUUGCCACCUUUGUCUCCAUUACCUAGCCUAAGAGAUUCAAAAUAUAUCUUCAGAAGACUUUCUUAUAUUGACUGAAUCAGAUAUGAACAUGGCUGAAGCAUGGGUUAAUUGCAAAAUAGUUUUAUUUAUUUAUAUUCUUAUUUAUGCUUCCAUUUUAAAAAAAAAAAAAGGUCAUUUAAACAACCUACAAAUCCUUAAAAAUGAUUCUCAGUGCUUUGCCUUCAACACAAUUAAAAUCAAACACAAGGUGACAUUAAAGACUGAAGCUUGGGGAGUUCCCGCUGUGGCUCAGCAGUGACAAACCCAACCUGUAUCCGUUAGGAUGCCAGUUUGGUCCCUGUCCUCACUCAGUGGGUUAAAGAUCCAGCAUUUCCGUGAGCUUUGGUGUAGGUCGCAGACUGGGCUCAAAUCUGGCAUUGCUGUGGCUGUGGGGUAGGCCGGCAGCUAGAGUUCUGAUUUGACCCCUAGCCUGGGAACUUCCAUAUGAUAUAUGGGCGCCCUAAAAAAAAAAGACUGAAGCUUGGGAAAAGGGAUAUUACAGAAUACAUUAUUAGGGUUAGUAUAGAACAGAAUUUGCAGUUAUUUCUUUUUAUUUCUUUAAAAUAUUUUAAAUAAUAAUCAUGGAGGAAAAAAAUCUCUAAGUCAUUAUCCUAAAGAUGGCAGCAAUGCCUUCCAAAAUUUUAAAGCUACUAUGUUUUUCAGGAGUUAUGACCUCAGGCGCAACAACAUCUGGUUUGGAGUCCUGAUUCUGUCACCUGCCAGUUAUGCUAUGAUCUUGGGCAAGUCACUUAUUCCUUUUGAGCCUCAGGCUCCUCAGCCAUAAAAUGGAGAUAAUUAUACUCAGCUCAUAAGGCAGUUGUAAAAAUGGAAUAAAACAGUGUGCAUGGAAGCACUCUAUAAACUAAAAAUAAGGCAUUGAUGGUGGGUACCGAUGGCCAAUGCCAAAGAGCACUCUGAUUAAAAUCUAAGGCUCUUUCCAGAACUUCAGUUCUCCACCUAAGAGUCUGCUCUUUUCUCCAAGCUGUUAUUUUUAUUGUUAUUGGAAGAACAUCAAAAGGAUCUCUGCUGGGCCUGAGCAAUACCAAACAAGUCCAGAAUGUACUAUUAAAUGCCCACAAUUAAUUACUGGGCUUGUGUUCUUUUUGCUUUUUUCUUUUUUUACAAGAACCUCUUAGCAUGUCACAAACCUUAAUCUGAAUAGCUGAAUUAACCUUAGAUUAGGAACCCAAGUGCCCAAAGUGGAACCAUGUGUUGAUCUGCUAGUGAUGGAUGGCCUGUGGCCAGUGGCUGCACAUCUGUGAGGCUCUAGUCACUGUAAAUAAAAGAAGCUGCCCUUGUUUUCAGAGCAGCUCAGCCCCUCUGCCAACAGAACACCCUUUGAGCACCCUCCGAUUUUCUAUAAAUCUCGGGUUUGAGAUUCUGAUGUAAUCAUAUGAUUUCCAAACCUUUAAGUGCUUGAAUGGAUUUUAAGACGAAAAGGUGGCCUAGGAGUUCCUGUCGUGGAACAGCAGAAAUGAACCCAACUAGGAACCAUGAGGUUGCAGGUUCAAUCCCUGGCCUCGCUCAGUGGGUUAAGGAUCUGGCUGUGAGCUGUGGUAUAGGUCGCAGAUGCAGCUCGGAUUUGGCGUUGCUGUGGCUGUGGCAUAGGCUGGCAGCUGUAGCUUGGCUUAGACCCAUAGCCUGGAAACCUCCAUGUGCCACGGGUGUGACCCUAAAAACAAACAAACCAAAAACAGCAAAAGGGUGGCUUGAAUAUUUUUACCAACCACUGCUAAUAUCAAAAACAUCACACUGCUUUCUUACAUUCAAAUCCCCUGGGAGAUCUUAAAAAAUUUCUGAAAGGAAUGUUGUCAAUGGAACCACUUCAAAAGGUGCGCUUAAUGAAACCAAAAAACCCUUCAUCAAGGAAGUUGUGGAUCACUCUCCCAAAGAUACCUAGGCAAAGUAGAAAUUGACAAACAUGAAGGCAUUUGCCCCAGCAUCAUCGAGGCUUGUCCAAAAAUUGCCUCUGAUUCUCCAUGAGGAGGUGGGAUGAGCAAUGCUGACAAUGAACUUCUGACUUCCCUUCUGUACUUGAGAACACAGAAGGCUCAAACACAUUAGUUUAUUUCUUGCCUCUUUUCCAUUCCCCACUCAGAGCAUUUGCCUUUGCCAUUCCUUCUACUAGGAAACUC
RNAcentral lists this long non-coding RNA (3705 nucleotides) under Sus scrofa (pig). RNAcentral describes it as "lncRNA (ENSSSCG00050053959.1)". The record is from RNAcentral. Lineage: Eukaryota; Metazoa; Chordata; Mammalia; Artiodactyla; Suidae.